CAAAAAUACAAAAACAAAA
This 19-nucleotide small RNA is filed under the name Arabidopsis thaliana (thale cress). Its description in RNAcentral is "ATSL301960". Lineage: Eukaryota; Viridiplantae; Streptophyta; Magnoliopsida; Brassicales; Brassicaceae. The record is from RNAcentral.